This 1108-nucleotide long non-coding RNA is filed under the name Salmo salar (Atlantic salmon). RNAcentral describes it as "lncRNA (ENSSSAG00000109007.1)". Lineage: Eukaryota; Metazoa; Chordata; Actinopteri; Salmoniformes; Salmonidae. The record is from RNAcentral.
GUUAGUUCGUUUUGCUCUCCCCCAGCAGGGUUCGUUCAUUCAUGUGGCUCUACCCGAGCAGGAUUCAUUUGGCUCUUCUUCCCGAGCUGGGAUUUGUUAACCUCUGGCUGGUACAGUAGUUGAUGACUAGUUCGGUAGUCCAUGGUAAGCUGCUGAGGUCUCUUCUCCCCCACUCCAAGCCGGGCCGGCUGUGUUGUAUCGGAGAUAGCCUCUCGCAGCUGCGUUGGCCGUGUCCCCAAUGUCUGUAGCCAUGGGGGACAACAAACAUACAAUUACAGGGAUCAGCGGAGAGAGACAGGGGUCGAGGAGCAGCGAGGAGUCAGAUGUCUGUCUGUGGAGGGGUUCCCGGUCGAACGGCGUCCUUGAAUGCAAUCAGCAGAGAGGGACAGCGGUCGAGGAGCUGCGAAGAGUCAGAUGUCCAUCCGUGGAGAGGUUCACGGUCGAACGGCGCCUUGAAGAGUGACCUGGAGGAACCUUGUGCCGGCCAGCGAGUGCUGUCACACAAACACCUCUCACUGAUAAGGCCUCUACUGGGGCGCUCUGCACACAUUUCCUCUGGAUGUAUUUCUGAUGUCGUUGACCACAGCAGAGAGAGCUCCACACAGAAGGAAAAGAGGGAGGUUGAAAAAUAUCAUAUGGAUGACUUUGCUAAAUUGCAGAAGCUGUCAGUGGAUUCAGCUGAUAUAAGGAGAAGAUCUUUCAUUUCAAUAUGUUUCAUUUAAAUGUCUAUUGUAUCUGUUCCGCUCAUCAGUAUUGUGUGUGUGUGUGUGUCUAUACUCAUUCCUUAGCACACUUUUUUACCUUUAUAACCCAGAACAUUAUGAGCAUCAAAACGUCAUAUUGUCAUGUUUUUACAAAAGGUUAAACUUCAACCAAUUGUCGCUUAUGUCAACUGGUCAUGCUCCCAGCAGGCUUUGCAGUGUCAAUGGGAAAAGAUGAGUGUCACAGGGUUGAAGCUUAUGUCAAUACAUUGCAGUCAAUGGGAAAGGAAAAGCAUCAAACAAAUGACCCAUUUGUCAAUAAAUUGCAUUCAGGGGGAAAAAAUGAGUGUCAACCAAUUUACGCUUAUGCUAAUACAUUGCAAUCAAUGGUAAAAGAUGAGUGUCAC